This 378-nucleotide unclassified non-coding RNA is filed under the name uncultured Actinomycetes bacterium. RNAcentral's name for it is "uncultured actinobacterium contains 16S-23S intergenic spacer region". The record is from RNAcentral. Lineage: Bacteria; Bacillati; Actinomycetota; Actinomycetes.
UCCGGUUUGGCACCGGCAGUCUUUCCAGAGUCCCCGGCAUUACCCGCUGGCAACUGAAAACGGGGGUUGCGCUCGUUGCGGGACUUAACCCAACACCUCACGGCACGAGCUGACGACAGCCAUGCAACACCUAUCGCAGGCCCUUACGGACACCGCGUUUCCACGGCUUUUCCUGCGUAGUUCAGCCCAGGUAAGGUUCUUCGCGUUGCAUCGAAUUAAGCCACAUGCUCCGCCGCUUGUGCGGGUCCCCGUCAAUUCCUUUGAGUUUUAGCCUUGCGGCCGUACUCCCCAGGCGGGGUGCUUAAAGCGUUAGCUACGGCACGGAACGGGUCGAUCCCCGCCCCACACCUAGCACCCAUCGUUUACGGCGUGGACUAC